Molecule: ribosomal RNA, 450 nt
Filed under: uncultured bacterium
Lineage: Bacteria
Description: bacterial SSU rRNA
Rfam family: Bacterial small subunit ribosomal RNA
Source: RNAcentral
GUGGGGAAUAUUGGACAAUGGGCGAAAGCCUGAUCCAGCCAUGCCGCGUGUGUGAAGAAGGUCUUCGGAUUGUAAAGCACUUUAAGUUGGGAGGAAGGGCAGUAAGUUAAUACCUUGCUGUUUUGACGUUACCGACAGAAUAAGCUCCGGCUAACUUCGUGCCAGCAGCCGCGGUAAUACGAAGGGUGCAAGCGUUAAUCGGAAUUACUGGGCGUAAAGCGCGCGUAGGUGGUUUUGUAAGUUGGAGGUGAAAUCCCCGGGCUCAACCUGGGAACUGCCUCCAAAACUGCAUGACUAGAGUACGGUAGAGGGUAGUGGAAUUUCCUGUGUAGCGGUGAAAUGCGUAGAUAUAGGAAGGAACACCAGUGGCGAAGGCGACUACCUGGACUGAUACUGACACUGAGGUGCGAAAGCGUGGGGAGCAAACAGGAUUAGAUACCCGGGUAGUCC